RNAcentral lists this ribosomal RNA (459 nucleotides) under uncultured bacterium. RNAcentral describes it as "partial 16S ribosomal RNA". It matches the Rfam family "Bacterial small subunit ribosomal RNA", at positions 338 to 795 of the family's 1533-position model. The record is from RNAcentral.
CCUACGGGAGGCAGCAGUGAGGAAUAUUGGUCAAUGGGCGGGAGCCUGAACCAGCCAAGUCGCGUGAAGGAAGAAGGUACUUAGUAUUGUAAACUUCUUUUGUCGGGGAACAAAGGCGGAGACGCGUCUCCGGAUGAGUGUACCCGAAGAAAAAGCAUCGGCUAACUCCGUGCCAGCAGCCGCGGUAAUUCGGAGGAUGCGAGGGUUAUCCGGUUUUAUUGGGUUUAAGGGGUGCCCAGGGGGGAGAUCAAGUCAGCGGUAAACUGUCGGGGAUCAACCCCGGCCGGCCGUUGAAACUGGUUUUCUAGAGUUGGAGAGAAGUAAGCGGAAUUCGUGGUGUAGCGGUGAAAUGCAUAGAUAUCACGAAGAACUCCGAUUGCGAAGGCAGCAUACCGGCUCCAUACUGACGCUGAGGCACGAAAGCGUGGGGAGCGAACAGGAUUAGAUACCCCAGUAGUC